AAUCCUUCAACUUUCCAAAACAAAGAUUCUUCAAUUGACAAUUUUGUUUCUACUCAGAAUCCGUCACAAACAUCUUUACUUGUUGAAGCUUCUAGUUACAGGAACUGUUCAUCUCCAGAAAGGAGAAUGAAGACUGUGAUUUCCAGCUAUGGCAGUGCAUAGAGCUUCCAAGGUGGAGCUGGUUUCGUUGCAGCAACAGGAUUUCAGCCAUAUGUCAUUGCUGAGCGACUAUAGAAGAACCUGAAGAAGGAUCUAAUGCAUUCUUGAUGCAGGGGAUACAAGCUAAUCUAAUGCAACUUUUGUCAAACAAUAGAGUGUACUUGCACUCGUAAGGAUUUGGUGUCCUUUCUGCAUCGCCUUUAGAAUGGAAGAGAAAGUGAAUAAACAAAUAAAAUACAGAGGGCAUGUAGUUGUAUCAAUUAUAGGAGUCAAAUUCAAUUAUAUGUACAUACCAAACAGUAUGCAUUGGUUCCUUUUUUUUGUUAUGAGAAUGAGAAGAAUGAAAAACAUGAAACCUGAGUUGAUGAAACAAUUCGAUGAAACAUUAUGCACUUUUUUCCCUUCUUCUUGUUGGUAGAAUGUUGCUCAUCAUAUUCAGAUAUGGAGUCUUGGCUUACUUUUCUUUUUCCUUUGUUACUUUGCUUCCCUUUCUCCCUUGUUUCUUCAAGAGCAAUAAUCUUAGUACUCUUCCUCCUUUCAUUUUGCUCUAGUUCUUGUAUCACAAUUCCAUUUUUCUUUGUAGACCCUAUGUAUAGAUUUAUCAAGAUAUACAUUAGCACUACUCUCUGUUUUGUACAUUCUAUAUGUAACAAAUGUGUAAUAUGUAAUUUAUCACUAUUAAUGAAAAACUUCACCAAUAGUGGUUAUCUUAAUGUUAA
Long non-coding RNA from Lotus japonicus, 878 nucleotides. RefSeq lists it as uncharacterized. Lineage: Eukaryota; Viridiplantae; Streptophyta; Magnoliopsida; Fabales; Fabaceae. The record is from RefSeq and is a predicted model, not a curated record. The transcript is spliced from 3 exons.